This 1050-nucleotide ribosomal RNA is filed under the name Biston falcata. RNAcentral's name for it is "partial 16S ribosomal RNA". Lineage: Eukaryota; Metazoa; Arthropoda; Insecta; Lepidoptera; Geometridae. The record is from RNAcentral.
AUUAAUAAUUAAUAUAUUUAAUAAAAAUAAUUUUAAUUUAAUAAAUAUUUUAAUGGGGGUUAAAGUAUUUUUUAAAGAAAAAAUUUUUAAAUUUAUAGUUAAUUAGUAUUGUGAAAGAAUUUUGAAAUAUUAUGAAAAAUAAAAUUUUUAUAAAGUAAUUUUUAUUUAUUGUAUCUUGUGUAUCAGAGUUUAUUAAAAAUUUUUAAUUUAUAAAUUAAUUUCUCGAAUUUAAAAGAGUUAAAUAAUUAUUAAAGUUAUUGUAGCAAAAUUAUUUUAAAUAAUUAUUUAGAAAUGAAAUGUUAAUCGUUUUUAAAUAUAUCUAGUUUUUAUAGAAAAAAAUUUAAUUUUAAAUUUAAAAAUUAUUUAAUUAAUUUAUUAAUUAAAUAAUUAUUUAAAUUUUAUAAUUUAAGGGAUAAGCUUUAAAUUAAAUUUUUAUAAUAUUAAAUUUUUAUUUUGAAAAUUUUAUAAUUUAUAUUGUUAAUAAAUUUUAUUUUGUUAUAAAUAAUUUCAUUUUUUUUAAAAUUUAAAUUUUAUUUAAUUUUUUAUAUAAAAUUUAUUUAUAAUUAUAUAAAGUUAAUUAUAAUGAUAAAAUUAGUAUAUUAUUUAAUAUUAAAUUAAAAUUAAUUUUUGGUUAAUAAUUAAAUUAAUUAAAAGGAAUUCGGCAAAUAUUUAUUUUCACUUGUUUAUCAAAAACAUGUCUUUUUGUUAUUUAAUUUAAAGUCUAAUCUGCCCACUGAUUUAUAAAAAUUGAAGGGCUGCAGUAUAUUGACUGUACAAAGGUAGCAUAAUCAUUAGUCUCUUAAUUGGUGACUUGUAUGAAAGAUUGGAUGAAAAAUAUACUGUCUCUUAAUUAAUAUAUAGAAUUUAAUUUUUUAUUUAAAAAGUUAAAAUAAUUUAAAAAGACGAGAAGACCCUAUAGAGUUUAAUAAAUUAUUUUAUGAAAGUUUUAUUUAUAUUUACUAAUAAUUUUAUAAAUUUAUUUAUUUUGUUGGGGUGAUAAAAAAAUAAAUUUAACUUUUUUUAAGUAAUUUACAUGAAUAAGUGAUUAAU